RNAcentral lists this ribosomal RNA (253 nucleotides) under uncultured bacterium. Its description in RNAcentral is "partial 16S ribosomal RNA". It matches the Rfam family "Bacterial small subunit ribosomal RNA", at positions 524 to 776 of the family's 1533-position model. The record is from RNAcentral.
UACGUAGGGCGCAAGCGUUGUCCGGAAUUAUUGGGCGUAAAGAGCUCGUAGGCGGCCUGUUGCGUCCGCUGUGAAAUCCCGGGGCUUAACCCCGGGCUUGCAGUGGAUACGGGCAGGCUGGAGGCAGGCAGGGGAGAACGGAAUUCCUGGUGUAGCGGUGAAAUGCGCAGAUAUCAGGAGGAACACCGGUGGCGAAGGCGGAUCUCUGGGCCGUAACUGACGCUGAGGAGCGAAAGCAUGGGGAGCGAACAGG